Molecule: ribosomal RNA, 325 nt
Filed under: uncultured eukaryote
Lineage: Eukaryota
Description: partial 18S ribosomal RNA
Rfam family: Eukaryotic small subunit ribosomal RNA
Source: RNAcentral
CCCUUAGAUGUCCUGGGCCGCACGCGCGCUACACUGAUGCAUUCAACGAGUUUUACCUUGGCCGAGAGGCCUGGGCAAUCUUUUAAACCCGCAUCGUGAUAGGGAUAGAUUAUUGCAAUUAUUAAUCUUGAACGAGGAAUUCCUAGUAAACGCAAAUCAUCAAUUUGCAUUGAUUACGUCCCUGCCCUUUGUACACACCGCCCGUCGCACCUACCGAUUGAAUGGUCCGGUGAAGCCUCGGGAUUGUGGCCAGUUCACUUUAUUGGGAGUUGGCUGCGAGAACUUGUCUAAACCUUAUCAUUUAGAGGAAGGUGAAGUCGUAACA